Molecule: ribosomal RNA, 532 nt
Filed under: Zelurus pintoi
Lineage: Eukaryota; Metazoa; Arthropoda; Insecta; Hemiptera; Reduviidae
Description: partial 16S ribosomal RNA
Rfam family: Bacterial large subunit ribosomal RNA
Source: RNAcentral
CAAAAACAUGUCUUUUUGAGAUUUAUAUAAGGUUUAACCUGCCCAAUGAGGUGUUUAAUGGCCGCGGUAUUUUAACCGUGCUAAGGUAGCAUAAUCAUUUGUCUUUUAAUUGAGGGCUAGUAUGAAAGGUUGGACGAGGUAUAAGCUUUCUUUAAUUUAAUUUAUGAAUUUAAUUUUUGAGUUAAAAAGCUUAAAUUUUUUUAUUGGACGAGAAGACCCUAUAGAUCUUUAUACUGGGAUUUGUUGAGUAAUUUAGGGAAUUUAUUUACUUUAAUAGAUUUUAUUAUUUGGUUGGGGUGACUGUAGAAUUUUUUUAACUUCUAUUUUUAUGUAUCAUUUAUUAGUGUUUGAUUGAUCCAUUUAUUUUGAUUAAAAGAUUAAGUUACCUUAGGGAUAACAGCGUAAUUUUUUCGGAGAGUUCAUAUCGAUGAAGGAGUUUGCGACCUCGAUGUUGGAUUAAAAUAAGUAGUAAAUGUAGCAGUUUACUGUCUAGGUCUGUUCGACCUUUAAAUUUUUACAUGAUCUGAGUUCA